AGAGUUUGAUCAUGGCUCAGGAUUAACGCUAGCGGCAGGCCUAAUACAUGCAAGUCGAACGGGAUUCAAAGUAGCAAUAUUUUGAUGAGAGUGGCGCACGGGUGAGUAACACGUAUGCAAUUUACCUUUAACUGGGGGAUAGCCCUCCGAAAGGAGGAUUAAUACCGCAUAAUAUAUUGAAAUGGCAUCAUUUUAAUAUUAAACCUACGGGGGUUAAAGAUGAGCAUGCAUCCGAUUAGCUAGUUGGUGUGGUAACGGCUCACCAAGGCAACGAUCGGUAGGGGUCUGAGAGGAUGAUCCCCCACACUGGUACUGAGACACGGACCAGACUCCUACGGGAGGCAGCAGUAAGGAAUAUUGGACAAUGGAGGCAACUCUGAUCCAGCCCAUGCCGCGUGAAGGAUUAAGGCCCUAUGGGUUGUAAACUUCUUUAGACGGGACAAAACCCCUUUACGUGUAAAGGGUUGAUGGUACUGUCAGAAUAAGCAUCGGCUAACUUCGUG
Molecule: ribosomal RNA, 503 nt
Filed under: uncultured bacterium
Lineage: Bacteria
Description: bacterial SSU rRNA
Rfam family: Bacterial small subunit ribosomal RNA
Source: RNAcentral